This 434-nucleotide ribosomal RNA is filed under the name uncultured bacterium. RNAcentral describes it as "partial 16S ribosomal RNA". It matches the Rfam family "Bacterial small subunit ribosomal RNA", at positions 341 to 792 of the family's 1533-position model. The record is from RNAcentral.
ACGGAAGGCAGCAGUGGGGAAUAUUGGACAAUGGGCGAAAGCCUGAUCCAGCGACGCCGCGUGAGUGAAGAAGUAUUUCGGUAUGUAAAGCUCUAUCAGCAGGGAAGAUAAUGACGGUACCUGACUAAGAAGCCCCGGCUAACUACGUGCCAGCAGCCGCGGUAAUACGUAGGGGGCAAGCGUUGUCCGGAAUGAUUGGGCGUAAAGGGCGCGUAGGCGGCCUGUUAAGUCAGAAGUGAAAGUCCUGCUUUCAAGGUGGGAAUUGCUUUUGAUACUGAUGGGCUUGAGUGCAGGAGAGGUUAGUGGAAUUCCCAGUGUAGCGGUGAAAUGCGUAGAGAUUGGGAGGAACACCAGUGGCGAAGGCGACUAACUGGACUGUAACUGACGCUGAGGCGCGAAAGUGUGGGGAGCAAACAGGAUUAGAUACCCUGGUA